Molecule: ribosomal RNA, 396 nt
Filed under: uncultured bacterium
Lineage: Bacteria
Description: bacterial SSU rRNA
Rfam family: Bacterial small subunit ribosomal RNA
Source: RNAcentral
GACGAACGCUGGCGGCGUGCUUAACACAUGCAAGUCGAGCGGUAAGGCCCUUUCGGGGGUACACGAGCGGCGAACGGGUGAGUAACACGUGGGUGACCUGCCCUCAGCUCUGGGAUAAGCCUGGGAAACCGGGUCUAAUACUGGAUAUGACUCCAUGACGCAUGUUGUGGGGUGGAAAGCCUUGUGCGGCUGAGGAUGGGCCCGCGGCCUAUCAGCUUGUUGGUGGGGUGAGGCCUACCAAGGCGACGACGGGUAGCCGGCCUGAGAGGGCGACCGGCCACACUGGGACUGAGACACGGCCCAGACUCCUACGGGAGGCAGCAGUGGGGAAUCUUGCGCAAUGGGCGAAAGCCUGACGCAGCGACGCCGCGUGAGGGAUGACGGCCUCGGUUGUAA